This 460-nucleotide ribosomal RNA is filed under the name uncultured bacterium. RNAcentral describes it as "partial 16S ribosomal RNA". It matches the Rfam family "Bacterial small subunit ribosomal RNA", at positions 338 to 795 of the family's 1533-position model. The record is from RNAcentral.
CCUACGGGCGGCAGCAGUGAGGAAUAUUGGUCAAUGGACGAGAGUCUGAACCAGCCAAGUAGCGUGAAGGAUGACUGCCCUACGGGUUGUAAACUUCUUUUAUAUAGGAAUAAAAUGUUCCACGUGUGGCAUUUUGUAUGUACCAUAUGAAUAAGGAUCGGCUAACUCCGUGCCAGCAGCCGCGGUAAUACGGAGGAUCCGAGCGUUAUCCGGAUUUAUUGGGUUUAAAGGGAGCGUAGGUGGAUUGUUAAGUAAGUUGUGAAAGUUUGCGGCUCAACCGUAAAAUUGCAGUUGAAACUGGCAGUCUUGAGUACAGUUGAGGUAGGCGGAAUUCGUGGUGUAGCGGUGAAAUGCUUAGAUAUCACGAAGAACUCCGAUUGCGAAGGCAGCUCACUAGACUGCAACUGACACUGAUGCUCGAAAGUGUGGGUAUCAAACAGGAUUAGAUACCCCUGUAGUC